ACAGCACAUCCGUCACUGUACAGCUUCAGAGGGACGCGACGUCCCCCAACCACAUGUCAGAUCCAUGCGGAGGUCUUCUUAGAUCUGUGGCUGGAGAAUGGGGAUAGUCCGAAAAGGACUAGAACAAAGGUGAGGCUCCCAACUCCUGGCUGUGUUUGCUCUUUUCACCUUGUUAGCCUGGUGUUUGCAGCCUGUCGUCUAAGCCUGGCAGGCAGGUGGCCCCUACACGUCUGUGCACAUGGAGCACGCUCUGUCUUCUGGGAAACGCAGGACACCUGCAAGUGGGAGCAAGAAAUCAGUGUCGGAAUCUCCAAGGAUGUUAGCUGCGUAAGCACAAGAGCAGUCACUCGCUGUGGUCCUCUCCCUUUCUUACGCCCGGGCACCCUGAGAAGAAAACAUCUGUUAUCGUCCCCAAAUGGAACAGGUAUGGGGACACACUGGUUUCUCUGAAGCCCCUUAUUACAAGUAAAUCAGGCCUGGGAUUGGAAGACGGGCUCCGUCUCUUUACUAGUUGCAUUGCCUUUAGUCAGUCAAGCCAGUUUAGCUCUUUUUGAGGAAAGGGUUUUAUGAGCAUUAAAGAUAAUGCAUGAGAGGGAAGGUCCUUAGAACAAGGUUAAAAGGAAAUGGUCAAUAUUAUUAUUAGCUAUUUCACCCCGUCAGGAGAACAAUGUGAGUAGAAGAGUCUUCUGUUUUAUUACUACUGCUACAGUCACGCUCCCUGGAAUCGAUCGCUACCGACAUUGCAGGGUCAUUUUGCAUUGACCUCUUUCAAAUGUACUUAUUAAACAUAAAAUAAGGUUGAAGAGUCAAGUUCGAGAUUGUUUUCUGGAGCAGGUAAUAGGACGAAGAGUAGAAGACUACAAAGGAGAUUCUAGUGUGUGGAGUUGGUUUUGGUCCAACUCAUUCCUAUGGCACAGGGGGUUAACAACUGGCUGUUACACGGCCGUGGAUAUGGACUGAGGACUUUCUUUCUUUUUUUUUUUUAAGAUUUUAUUUAUUUAUUCAUGAGAGACACAGAGAGAGAGAGAGAGAGAGGGGCAGAGACACAGGCAGAGGGAGAAGCAGGCUCCAUGCAGGGAGCCCGAUGUGGGACUCGAUCCCGGGUCUCCGGGAUCACACCCUGGGCCGAAGGCAGCGCUAAACUGCUGGGCCACCGGAGGUGCCCGACGGAGGACUUUCUGUGCCGGGAUGGAUGGUGGUAAAUGUCUGUUCUAAAGCCUUCUAUUUUAGCAGCUAUCCCAGCAAGUCAGCAGCAUCUUCUGUGAUGUGGUCAGAACAGUUUUCGGCUGAAUCCCUCUUUCUUCUUUAACAUCUAUCACCACGGGCCACAUCCCCACAGGCUUUUCAGGGCAGAGUAGCUCAACCAAAGCAAGCUUUCCGUCUGCCUCUGGCUCAUCUGUCUCCACGGGCAGUUUUGACUCCUUCACCUGCCGUGAUCCAAAAUCAUGGA
This 1450-nucleotide long non-coding RNA is filed under the name Vulpes vulpes (red fox). RNAcentral's name for it is "lncRNA (ENSVVUG00000009701.1)". Lineage: Eukaryota; Metazoa; Chordata; Mammalia; Carnivora; Canidae. The record is from RNAcentral.